This 556-nucleotide long non-coding RNA is filed under the name Anas platyrhynchos platyrhynchos (common mallard). RNAcentral's name for it is "lncRNA (ENSAPLG00000018860.1)". Lineage: Eukaryota; Metazoa; Chordata; Aves; Anseriformes; Anatidae. The record is from RNAcentral.
CAUUGCUAUGUACAUGUACAUGGGAAAUCAGAACUGUCAGAGGAGAUGCAAGCAGGAGGAAGAGGAGGCAAAAGCAAGGAUGGUUUCAAAUGGAAUAAAGGACUUGUGCAGAUCCCUCAAGCUGACAAAAUAUGACUUCCACAUCAAGAAAUGACAAGGAUUUUGCAAUGCCUUGGUCCCUGCACCCUGCCAGUAAUGAUGCCAAGAAGUAUGACAGAGAAGAGGGGAAAACCAGGCCUUCCUACAGAGGUCUACCAGUGACAUGUGCUGGCACUAGAUGUACUAGAUGCAUUAAGGACUCCUGCUACAGAGCUGGUCAGCUAUUAAAAGAAGACAAUUUCUUGCCAGACAAGAGCGCCUCUUUCUUCCCGCCUUCUUACGGACUCAACAACCAGCCAUCUGAUCCUGUCUGGCUUCUGCAUCUUGAAUUCCUGAAAACUUUGGCACUGUGAGUCUGAUUGAAAGUGUCAGGACAGGACAAACAAAGGAAAACUACCUAUAUGCCACAAAUUCUUAAAAAAAUAAAAUAAAAUAAAAAUCUGAAGAUGUAUUGUUC